CCCAAACAGCAAGCAAUGCAGGUGUAGAAGCACGGUGGCUAGGAAAAACUCCCCAGAAAGGCCAGAACCUAGGAAGAAACCUAGAGAGGAACCAGGCUACGAGGGGUGGCCAGUCCUCUUCUGGCUGUGCUGGGUGGAGAUUAUAACAGAACAUGGCCAAGAUGUUCAAAUGUUCAUAAAUAACCAGCAGGGUCAAAUAAUAAUACUCACAGUCAUACACCUAGACACACACACACCUAGACACACACAUCUGUCAUACACCUAGACACACACACCAAGACAGCGUUUAGAGGGUUGGGUCAGUAACCGAAAGGUCUCUAGUUUAAAUCCCCAAGCCGACAAGUUGGUGGUGGGGUCUGUCGACGGCACUUAACCCCAAUUGCUUUCAGUCGCCGUUCAUAAUGGCUGACCCUAGCCGUGACCCCACUCUCCGAGGGCGUCUCAGGGAGAGUUGGGGUAUGCAAAAAAAACACAUUUCCAAUUCACACACGUGUAACACUGGUACGUGUGACAGGACUGAUAUAAAGAGACACCAAAUUAGGAUUAUUAGCUGAAGACACUCUGCACAUAUACAUACCGUUGGUGUCUGAUGAAAACCUUGUAACUCCAUUUGAUCCCAAAACAUUUGUAUUGAAUGCAGUAACUCCCCUCCAAUAUAGACUGAAUAUUUCCUGACUCUACGACUAAGAUCAUAUGUUUAUAAUAGCUCCUGAAGUUUGGUAAUUAUAUGUUUGUUAAAAAUAAAACUUUUUUUUCUUUCUUUUUUCCCCCCCAUUUCUUGAAGUGUCUGUUUUGGAGAUGGGCCUACAGGGUUCUCAUCAGAAAGCUAUGAUACACACGUGUGUGUGUGUGUGUGUGUGUGUGUACACAUCUGAGAGUCACAAACACCCAAACACACUUCUCAUACACCUGACCACACACACACACACACACACACACACACACACACACGCAGGCCCAGCUCAUACAUUGUCACACAGCCAUACAUAUACAGGUAUCAUACACAGUGGAUACAGCACACUAGGUUGGGAGUCAUAGGAGAAACCAAUAUCUCUUACUGCAUGUGUUUAUGGAUGUGGGUAUGUAAAGCCGCAAGGCACUGAUGAGUUCUGUUGUUUUCAUUUGGGCCCCCCACCCUGUUAAAGUUGCCCGUCCUUGGUAUCGACUGACAGGAGACUGUGCUAGAACCUACUGUAGCUGUGCCAUAGUCUAAUAGUGGCAAACCACGUCGCUCAUGUCAUGCUGUUUGACAUCCACACAAACACUUUGUCACUUUUAAAAAAAUAUAUAUAUAUAUUUUGAAGCACUUUCCAUUUGUCAAUCCUUUACUUGAUUUAGUCUUUAUGCAGUAUGUCACGAACCUGAAACGUCAGGAUGCUUAUAAGCUGGUUGUAAUAAGUUGUGUUCACCGCUGAUUUCAGACGGACACAUUUAACAGGGAGUUUGGAACAUCGCAGAAAACUUCUCUUGGGUUUUAAUUAGUCACGUCCCUGUCAGUCUCUGGUCUGGACGGCCAUUUUGAUCCAAUGACAACGGCACUUUGCCGUGAUCAUGUGACUUCACAGGGAUGCCGGCACUUGCUGUACAAACAGACGUAAACACACACACUUCCAUGACAAAGUGGAUCUCGCAUGGAUCCAUAUUCACCAUUUCUUUCUUACCUUUUCUCGCUCUCCUUCACCUUUUUUUUUAUCUCCAUCCCUCAAAUACACCCCCCUCCUGACCCUCUCACCUAUGGGGCAUGGUGUAUGUGAACCGAGUGAUACGAGAGGGUGGCGUUAUAGAACUGGUACAGGAAGUUAAGGUCAAGUCAUAGAGGGAUUUUAAGGGAAGAUGGGUGGAAGUGAGGAUCUGAGGGUUACUGAAUAAGAACUGUGGGGUUUACAGAAUGUUCAAAGGAGAGUUCUAGAACGGUGGAGGUUGUCUGGGGGUAAACAUACUAUACACUACAGUAUGCCAUACAGACUUUAGUACAGUACAGGUGUAGUACACUACAGUAUGCCAUACAGACUUUAGUACAGUACAGGUGUAGUACACUACAGUAUGCCAUACAGACUUUAGUACAGAACAGUACAGGUGUAGUACACUACAGUAUGCCAUACAGACUUUAGUACAGUACAGGUGUAGUACACUACAGUAUGCCAUACAGACUUUAGUACAGAACAGUACAGGUGUAGUACACUACAGUAUGCCAUACAGACUUUAGUACAGUACAGGUGUAGUACACUACAGUAUGCCAUACAGACUUUAGUACAGUACAGGUGUAGUACACUACAGUAUGCCAUACAGACUUUAGUACAGAACAGUACAGGUGUAGUACACUACAGUAUGCCAUACAGACUUUAGUACAGUACAGGUGUAGUACACUACAGUAUGCCAUACAGACUUUAGUACAGUACAGGUGUAGUACACUACAGUAUGCCAUACAGACUUUAGUACAGUACAGGUGUAGUACACUAUAGACUUUAGUACAGUACAGGUGUAGUACACUAUAGACUUUAGUACAGAACAGUACAGGUGUAGUACACUACAGUAUGCCAUACAGACUAUAGUACAGAACUGUACAGGUGUUGGAUUAUGACUGCUGAAUGUCCUUUUGGGUGGGUGGUGAUGCUGCUGUUGCUCCUGCACCGCCCCCUGUCGUUACCCCCCCCGACCCCCUCCUCAAAUAGACAGACAGACCCCUCUCUCUCUCAUAUAUAUAUAUAUAUAUGGUGGGGGGGAGGUGUGGUAAAAGAAUAUAUAUAUAAAUAUAUAUAUAAAUAGUUGAUUUAACAGCAAUUUCAUGUGGGAUGUAUAGGAAAUAAUGUGUUAAUAUUGUACAUUUUUAGAAUUGAAAAAAAAAUCGCCAUUUAAAAACAAAUCCAAGUUGAGACCAAUUAACUGCUUGUAUUGUGAAGACACAAAUCUCUGUGAUAACUGACAUGGUCUUUAACAAUGCUUUGAAACAAGGAAAUUAUUGAAAAAAACAUGAUCAACAACACCUUGUACAUACACACACACACACACACACACACACACACACACACACAAUGUGUAGUCCUGGAGUAGUGUUAUUAGAUUCCGUUGGGGUUCUAUCGAGUUCCGUUGGAUCCCAUUAAAUUCCGUUGGAUUCUAUUGUCUCUACUUGUUCAGACUCGCUACUGACCUGUGAACUUUUGUCCACUCAUUCUUUCUGCAAAGAGCCUUCAGGUCUCUCCCCAAACUGAGGAGGAUGUGCUGUACUCUUCCUUUUAAUGGUUUUAAUUUGCUGUUCGGGUUUUUAUUUCUCUUAUCGAGAGAAAUUGUUGGUUUUCAUCUACAUCGAUUGAUGUAAUUCAGUCGGUCAGAUUAUGAUGACAUCUAGAUUAUACUCAAUGGUCAGAUUAAAAUAAGAGAUCCACUCUGGUUCAUCCUUGGAGAGACGGGAUCUCUACGGUCUGAUCAGUAGAGUUACUGGAACCAUUCCCACGCCAUGCAAUCUGUAUUAAACUGGAUAGGUUGUGCAAAAAAAGAUGAAUGUCUUACAUAAAAGAAUAUAUACAAUUAUAGAAAAUGUGAUUUUAAAAAAUGUUUAAAAGAAAUUGAGAAAGAAUGUUUUAGGAGACAAAUGUAAAAUUUUGUUUUGUAAUUACUUAUUUUGUUUGGCAGAGGGCUACUGAACAAAGAUUCCACUGUAAUAAAGUCCUUUUAGUUC
This is a long non-coding RNA of Oncorhynchus keta (chum salmon), 3676 nucleotides long. RefSeq lists it as uncharacterized. NCBI's taxonomy places the organism in Eukaryota, Metazoa, Chordata, Actinopteri, Salmoniformes, Salmonidae. The record is from RefSeq and is a predicted model, not a curated record. The transcript is spliced from 2 exons.